UUUUGUUUUGUUCUCAAUGUGCCUUUCAGCUUAUGUCUAUUCAUGUACUUUAAUUCCACGAACUGAGUAUGUGAGGAAGAAGAAUCACUUGGAAGCCACUCCCAUAUCAUUAACUAAUAUGCUGUACAACACUACCUCCAUCCAGACUAAAGCCUACAAGAUCAUACUAGCAUUGUCACCAGACUAAAGCCAACAUCGGCAUCCAUUCACAAACUGGCCACCAGAGCCUUGACGACAACACUCCCGACCACAACAACACUCCCCCUAACCACAAGAGUCCCAUCCACAACACAUCUGACCACCACAACAAUCACACAAACCACAAGAGUCCCAUCCACAAUACACCUGAGAACCCCAAUCCGACCAUCUUCUUUUUGUCCACCACGAACUCCACCCAUUACCAAACACAUCUCCAAAUAUUUAAACUAUAUUCUCAGCCUUAGAUCCCACACAUCGUUCAUCCACAUAACCUUUGACCAUAAAGCUGCCGAACAGCUGACGCCUAACCAUGACUUACCCGACCACAACUCACCCAACCACAACAACCUUAGCAACCCGUCUCAUGUCGCCACACAUGAUACACCUAAUAGACACCUUUUGUUUUGUUCUCAAUGUGCCUUUCAGCUUAUGUCUAUUCAUGUACUUUAAUUCCACGAACUGAGUAUGUGAGGAAGAAGAAUCACUUGGAAGCCACUCCCAUAUCAUUAGCUAAUAUGCCGUACAACACUACCUCCACCCAGACUAAAGCCUACAAGAUCACACUAGCAUUGUCACCAGACUAAAGCCAACAUCGGCAUCCAUUCACACACUGACCACCAGAGCCUUGACGACAACACUCCCGACCACAACAACACUCCCCCUAACCACAAGAGUCCCAUCCACAACAUAUCUGACCACCACAACAAUCACACAAACCACGAGAGUCCCAUCCACAAUACACCUGAGAACCCCAAUCCGACCAUCUUCUUUUUGUCCACCACGAACUCCACCCAUUACCAAACACAUCUCCAAAUAUU
This 1016-nucleotide long non-coding RNA is filed under the name Brassica napus (rape). RNAcentral's name for it is "long non-coding RNA (BNAP_LNC007379)". The record is from RNAcentral. Lineage: Eukaryota; Viridiplantae; Streptophyta; Magnoliopsida; Brassicales; Brassicaceae.